AGAGUUUGAUCAUGGCUCAGGAUGAACGCUAGCUACAGGCUUAACACAUGCAAGUCGAGGGGCAGCAUUGGGGUAGCAAUACUUCAGAUGGCGACCGGCGCACGGGUGAGUAACACGUAUCCAACCUGCCGCUUACUCGGGGAUAGCCUUUCGAAAGAAAGAUUAAUACCCGAUGGUAUAAAGAGUUCGCAUGUUCUCUUUACUAAAGAAUUUCGGUAAGCGAUGGGGAUGCGUUCCAUUAGAUAGUUGGCGGGGUAACGGCCCACCAAGUCUACGAUGGAUAGGGGUUCUGAGAGGAAGGUCCCCCACAUUGGAACUGAGACACGGUCCAAACUCCUACGGGAGGCAGCAGUGAGGAAUAUUGGUCAAUGGACGAGAGUCUGAACCAGCCAAGUAGCGUGAAGGAUGACUGCCCUAUGGAUUGUAAACUUCUUUUAUAAGGGAAUAAAGUGAGGGACGUGUCCCUUUUUGUAUGUACCUUAUGAAUAAGGAUCGGCUAACUCCGUGCCAGCCGCAGC
This 518-nucleotide ribosomal RNA is filed under the name uncultured bacterium. Its description in RNAcentral is "bacterial SSU rRNA". It matches the Rfam family "Bacterial small subunit ribosomal RNA", at positions 8 to 518 of the family's 1533-position model. The record is from RNAcentral.